RNAcentral lists this ribosomal RNA (253 nucleotides) under uncultured bacterium. RNAcentral's name for it is "partial 16S ribosomal RNA". It matches the Rfam family "Bacterial small subunit ribosomal RNA", at positions 524 to 776 of the family's 1533-position model. The record is from RNAcentral.
GACAGAGGUGCCGAGCGUUAGGCGGAAUCACUGGGCUUAAAGCGCGUGUAGGCGGUUGUCCAAGUUGGAUGUGAAAGCCUUGAGCUUAACUCAAGAAAUGCAUUCAGGACUGGAUGACUAGAGGACCGGAGAGGAUAGUGGAAUUCCCAGUGUAGUGGUGAAAUACGUAGAGAUUGGGAAGAACACCAGUGGCGAAGGCGGCUAUCUGGACGGUUUCUGACGCUAAGACGCGAAAGCGUGGGGAGCAAACAGG